UCUUUUAUGUAUGAUUUGUCAUAAAGAUGUCAUAAAUGGGAUGCUCCAUAUUUGUACUUCUGAUUUUUUUUUCUUUUAAAUGAUCUAUAUAAUAUAUUGGUUUGUCAUUUGUGUUUGUAACUGUUGGCAUUUAUUGGGAGAAGCAUGUGAGAUGUGGUUAGUUAAUUUUAUAAGUUUUAGGGCAUUAAGUAUUCAAGUGAUAAUAGGGUAUGAAUUGUGAGGGUUUUAUUUUAUGAAUUCGCUGUUAUUUCAAAUAUUUAAUUUCUUAUUGAAGUUAAAAGACAAUCUCUCAUUUCC
Molecule: long non-coding RNA, 297 nt
Filed under: Gossypium barbadense (sea-island cotton)
Lineage: Eukaryota; Viridiplantae; Streptophyta; Magnoliopsida; Malvales; Malvaceae
Description: long non-coding RNA (GBAR_LNC015345)
Source: RNAcentral